This 111-nucleotide microRNA precursor is filed under the name Corchorus olitorius. Its description in RNAcentral is "mir-395 microRNA precursor family". It matches the Rfam family "mir-395 microRNA precursor family". From Rfam's summary of the family: mir-395 was identified in both Arabidopsis thaliana and Oryza sativa computationally and was later experimentally verified. mir-395 is thought to target mRNAs coding for ATP sulphurylases. The mature sequence is excised from the 3' arm of the hairpin. Lineage: Eukaryota; Viridiplantae; Streptophyta; Magnoliopsida; Malvales; Malvaceae. The record is from Rfam by way of RNAcentral.
GUGCCCACUGGAGUUCCCUCAGACACUUCAGUUGAUCUGUAUAGAGCUCAUAACCUCUUUCAAAACCUCUUCGUGAUCUACUGAAGUGUUUGGGGGAACUCUGGUUGUCAU